GUGGGGAAUCUUCCGCAAUGGGCGAAAGCCUGACGGAGCAACGCCGCGUGAGUGAUGACGGCCUUCGGGUUGUAAAGCUCUGUUAUAUGGGACGAACGGGCAUGGGGCGAAUACCCUCAUGCAGUGACGGUACCGUAAGAGAAAGCCACGGCUAACUACGUGCCAGCAGCCGCGGUAAUACGUAGGUGGCAAGCGUUGUCCGGAAUUAUUGGGCGUGAAGGGCGUGUAGGCGGCCAGACAAGUCUGUCUUAAAAGUGCGGGGCUCAACCCCGUGAUGGGAUGGAAACUGUCGGGCUAGAGUGUCGGAGAGGAAAGCGGAAUUCCUAGUGUAGCGGUGAAAUGCGUAGAUAUUAGGAGGAACACCAGUGGCGAAAGCGGCUUUCUGGACGACAACUGACGCUGAGGCGCGAAAGCCAGGGGAGCAAACGGGAUUAGAAACCCCUGUAGUCC
This 450-nucleotide ribosomal RNA is filed under the name uncultured bacterium. Its description in RNAcentral is "partial 16S ribosomal RNA". It matches the Rfam family "Bacterial small subunit ribosomal RNA", at positions 354 to 796 of the family's 1533-position model. The record is from RNAcentral.